AUGCCCGGCUGGGCUGGGGGAGUCGCCAAGUUUGCGAGACGCGCGCAGCGCAACGGUGCGUCGGGCGCGGGGACGGCCCGUGACCCGGGCACCCGCGCGCCCCCGAGGAACCUGCGCGUGGGCAGGGCCCGGUGCGCGGCCCGGGAAGGGACUGGGUGCCCUCGCCGGGGUCGCCGCUCCCGUGGGAUGGUUUCCAGGCUGCUCCGCGCCCGCGGGGCAAGGGCGCAGCCGGGACCAGGGAGACCCCCGCGCCGCGCCGCCCCAGCCCCCCGCCAGCCCAGGAGGGGGCCUCCCACAAUGCCCAGCGAGCUCCAGCCCGCACUUCCGCUGUCCGGCCGCCCGCGGGGGGGAGAACGGACCCCCGGCGCGGCCCCUGCGACCCCGCGGCGCGGCGCCCGGGGCCGAGCGAGAGGGCGGGGCCGGCAGCCGGGCCGGCGUGGGCGGGGCCCGGCGGUGGCCGCGGCCGGGAGGCGCGGGCCAAUCAGCGGCGGCCGGGCGCGCCGGGGCGGGUCAGGGUCCGCGGGCGCGGGCGCGCGCGGCGCGCGGGCGGCGGGGCCGCGGGUUGGAGCGGGCGUAAAAGCGCCGGGCUCCGAAUGGACCGACGACGGACGGACCGGACGGACCGCAGGCCCCGGCGAGCGCGCAGCUCGGACCCGCCCGCAGCGCCCGCCCUGGCGGCGGUGGCGUGGCGAUCACCGGUGCCGGCCUGGUGGCCGCGGCGCUGCCCUCGCCCGCGCCCCAUGGGGUCACAGGCAAGCGGUGCCGGCUCAUUGUCCGCGCGGCCGGGGGGCGCAUCGCGGCGGGGCCGGGCGGGAGCCGGGAGCAGGAGCCGGGUUGCCAGUGAGCCUGGCACGCGCCUCGCCGCCGGCCGCCCCGCCACGCCCCGGCCACCCGCGGGGCCUCCCGGGGCCAUCGGCGCCCGGCCGCGGCGCGGGCUCCGGGGGCGGCGGCGGGAGACCCUGGCCCGGCCUCGCUGCGGGUGCCCCCAGGCUGGCGGCGCGGGCGGGCGCGGGGCAGGCGGGUUCCCUCGCGGGCUGCGCGCGGGAGGCGGCGGCUGCCUCCCUCGGCCCCGGCACCCUCCUCCCUGCCGCCGCGCUCCCUCCCCGGCACCUCGGAGAGGGGAUUUUUCCAGCUGGUAAUUUCUGCUGCGUCAACGCCUGGCCCCGAGGCAGCCCGGGGGCGUCCUGGCGCCCCCCGCCCGCGCCCCCAGCCGGCGCAGCCCAGCCGCACCCGGAGCCGCCCGCGCCGAGUUUGCCAAGAGUCGGAACUGCGGGAGGUGGGCGCGGGCGGGUCCCGGCGUCCUGGGGCCGGGGGUCAUUGUCUCCCCGGACGCCGGGCGCCGGCCUGGUCUCCAUGUUAAUCGCCGGCCGAACCGGGGCGCAGGGGCCUCGGGGCGGGGCGGCGAGGGGCGCGGAGGGCGCGGGGCGCGUGGGGCGGACGGGGCGCGCGGAGGGAGCGGGGUCCGCAGCGAGCCGCGUCUUUGUUUCUCUGUAA
This 1494-nucleotide long non-coding RNA is filed under the name Papio anubis (olive baboon). Its description in RNAcentral is "lncRNA (ENSPANG00000043328.1)". Lineage: Eukaryota; Metazoa; Chordata; Mammalia; Primates; Cercopithecidae. The record is from RNAcentral.